GAUGAAGAACGCAGCGAAAUGCGAUAAGUAGUGUGAAUUGCAGACUUUAGUGAAUCAUCGAAUCUUUUAACGCACAUUGCGCCCCUUGGUAUUCCAUUGGGCAUGCCUGUUCGAGCGUCAUUUACACCCUCAAGCCUAGCUUGGUGUUGGGCGUUGUCCGCAAGGACUCGCCUCAAAUUCAUUGGCAGCGGCAUCGUCAGCUUCUCGCGCAGCACAUUGCGCUUCAGAAGGCUUCUGGCGGGCUCGCGUCCACUAAGAUACCACCCAGUUUGACCUCGAAUCAGGUAGGGAUACCCGCUGAACUUAAGCAUAUCAAUAAGCGGAGGA
This 327-nucleotide unclassified non-coding RNA is filed under the name soil metagenome. RNAcentral describes it as "partial contains 5.8S ribosomal RNA, internal transcribed spacer 2, and large subunit ribosomal RNA". The stretch from base 1 to 120 matches the Rfam family "5.8S ribosomal RNA", at positions 35 to 154 of the family's 154-position model. The record is from RNAcentral.